Molecule: RNase P RNA, 325 nt
Filed under: Uta stansburiana
Lineage: Eukaryota; Metazoa; Chordata; Lepidosauria; Squamata; Phrynosomatidae
Description: Nuclear RNase P
Rfam family: Nuclear RNase P
About the family: Ribonuclease P (RNase P) is a ubiquitous endoribonuclease, found in archaea, bacteria and eukarya as well as chloroplasts and mitochondria. Its best characterised activity is the generation of mature 5'-ends of tRNAs by cleaving the 5'-leader elements of precursor-tRNAs. Cellular RNase Ps are ribonucleoproteins.
Source: Rfam by way of RNAcentral
GGAAGGAAGCUCACUGUAGAGGUCACUCGCUGGGUGUCUUGAUCACCCCCGUUGCUACCUUGGGGAAGGUCUGAGAGAAGGGCCAAGUGUCGUCCUAGCAGGGCGCCAUCUUAGGAAGGUGGGUGAGUUCCCAGCAAUAUGGAUCUCCAGUAAAGCCCUACUUUGAGGCAGGAGAAGCAGGGCUGGGGGGGUUCCCUCCUCCCUGCGGAUGCCUCCGUGGCUUACUCGGGGUUUGGGAAUGACUCACGGCCGGCAACGUUGAGUACAAUGGGCAGAGGUGGAGCACCCGCUUCAUAACCCAAUUCAGACCACUCUCCGGAAUUCC